UAGGGAAUAUUGCAUAAUGGGCGCAAGCCUGAAGCAGCAACGCCGCGUGUGCGAUGAAGGCCUUCGGGUUGUAAAGCACUUUUUGCUGGGAAGAGGAAGGACGGUACCAGCAGAAUAAGCCUCGGCUAACUACGUGCCAGCAGCCGCGGUAAAACGUAGGAGGCGAGCGUUAUCCGGAUUUACUGGGUGUAAAGCGCGUGCAGGCGGUUUACUAAGUUGGAUGUGAAAGCUCCUGGCUCAACUGGGAGA
RNAcentral lists this ribosomal RNA (249 nucleotides) under uncultured Anaerolinea sp. RNAcentral's name for it is "partial 16S ribosomal RNA". It matches the Rfam family "Bacterial small subunit ribosomal RNA", at positions 355 to 620 of the family's 1533-position model. The record is from RNAcentral. Lineage: Bacteria; Bacillati; Chloroflexota; Anaerolineae; Anaerolineales; Anaerolineaceae.